AACGUAGGUGGCAAGCGUUAUCCGGAUUUACUGGGCGUAAAGGGUGUGUAGGCGGCUUCGUAAGUUCGGUGUGAAAUCUCCUGGCUUAACUGGGAGGGUGCGCCGAAAACUGCGGAGCUGGAGCGCAGGAGAGGAAAGCAGAAUUCCUGGUGUAGCGGUGAAAUGCGUAGAUAUCAAGAGGAAUACCUGAGGUGAAGACGGGUUGCUAGGCCGACACUGACGCUGAGUGCGCGAAAGCCAGGGGAGCAAACGGG
RNAcentral lists this ribosomal RNA (254 nucleotides) under uncultured prokaryote. RNAcentral's name for it is "partial 16S ribosomal RNA". It matches the Rfam family "Bacterial small subunit ribosomal RNA", at positions 524 to 776 of the family's 1533-position model. The record is from RNAcentral.